GAACCUGAGACGCCGGGCGCGGCGGCCGCUCGGUCCUCCGCUGCCACCUCCGCUGCCACCCACGGGCCCGAGGUCGCUCCCCACGGUGUGCGGAUUCGCCCCAACCUCCUCCCCGGCCCAGACUUUUCCCAAGAAUAUGCCAGAGCUCCCGUCUUCACAGCCAGGGGAGGAAUUUCUGGCUGGUAGCCCCAGCCCCUCUCCCCAGGCCACAUGUGGGAGACAUCUUGACUUUCUCCUUUUCAUCUCUCACAUCAAGUUUGUCACCAAGGCGGGAAAUGAAACUAGUCAUUGGAAGGGUGGUUUAAGAAGUGCUUGGAGGGAACAAAGAAGGAGGAAUCAUGUUCUGUUUAGGACGGAUCCAGGAAAGAAAGAGCUGCUGCUGGAGCACUUAACAAGGAAUGAUAACCCAGAGGUCACUCCAACAGUUCUUGCAGAAAUCACUGGACAAGCCCCAAACACCUCAGGAUGGGCAAAGAUUCCUAUAGCUCAUGAUUUGUAUAAACGGUGAGUGAGAAAAAGAAAGAAAUCAGUUGGAAGUCACCUGUCAGUGGUUCCCAAAAGAACACCUCAACUGCUCCUCACUGAAGACAAUCCAGAGCCCAUCUGGCAUUGCCUUCCACAGUGACUUCUCUUAGACCAAAGAUCUGAGAACUCAAAGGGCAAGGAGUCUGCCUCAUACUCAGACCAACAUACAAAUAUCCAAUUAUGGAACAGGAAUCGGGUAACUUCAAUCAACAAUCCCCUUGGGAAAAGGGAAGACUGAGAGACCCACAGCAGUCAUGUUCUACAGAUACACUGGUGUUGCGAUGCUGAAACUCCAUGGGCAGACAGUACAAAGGAUGCCUAUCUUGGGCAGGAACUCUCUCACCCACUGUUCUUUGUCAUCCUUGGCAUCACUCUCUGAGGGGCUUCCCCCUGGACCCUUACUCUCCUUGGCUGCAUCUAAGGAGGGAGUUGAGAAUGCUCUCCUUACGGGUUGAACAAUUUCCUGCCAGAGGUUGUUUCAAGGCUAAGCUAACAGACUCAUGCUUUUUACACAGGCUUGUGGUUUUCUUACAAUACAGUUUCCUCCACAAUUUGGGAAGCCUCUAAUCUAUUUGCAUCCAGGCCGUUUCAUUUGCCAAUAUCCACACUCAACGUACCCUUUGUAAGACAGAGUUUUCAAAUGUGCUUUCUUCUUACCCAAGUGAUAGUGAUUUCUGGCUAGACCAGAGGAUCAAAACACCUUUACCAGCUAUUGUCCAUGGUUCACUUGAAUCCACUGGGAUGUGUUCUUGGGACUUUGUCACUCCAAGUCUUUUAAAUUCCUAUCUCUUACUAUUUUUUGAGAAUGAGAAGCAGUCAACUUUUCUAACUCUGCAGGCCUCAGUAUUCUGGAUUUUGUCUAUUCCAUUUCAUUUCUACUG
Molecule: long non-coding RNA, 1406 nt
Organism: Myotis myotis
Lineage: Eukaryota; Metazoa; Chordata; Mammalia; Chiroptera; Vespertilionidae
Exons: 4
Source: RefSeq, a predicted model, not a curated record